CGGCGUGCUUAACACAUGCAAGUCGAGCGAUGAAGUUUCCUUCGGGAAACGGAUUAGCGGCGGACGGGUGAGUAACACGUGGGUAACCUGCCUCAUAGAGUGGAAUAGCCUUCCGAAAGGAAGAUUAAUACCGCAUAAUGUUGAAAGAUGGCAUCAUCAUUCAACCAAAGGAGCAAUCCGCUAUGAGAUGGACCCGCGGCGCAUUAGCUAGUUGGUGGGGUAACGGCCUACCAAGGCGACGAUGCGUAGCCGACCUGAGAGGGUGAUCGGCCACAUUGGGACUGAGACACGGCCCAGACUCCUACGGGAGGCAGCAGUGGGGAAUAUUGCACAAUGGGGGAAACCCUGAUGCAGCAACGCCGCGUGAGUGAUGAAGGUUUUCGGAUCGUAAAGCUCUGUCUUUGGGGAAGAUAAUGACAGUACCCAAGGAGGAAGCCACGGCUAACUACGUGCCAGCAGCCGCGGUAAUACGUAGGUGGCGAGCGUUAUCCGGAUUUACUGGGCGUAAAGGGAGCGUAGGCGGAUGAUUAAGUGGGAUGUGAAAUACCCGGGCUCAACUUGGGUGCUGCAUUCCAAACUGGUUAUCUAGAGUGCAGGAGAGGAGAGUGGAAUUCCUAGUGUAGCGGUGAAAUGCGUAGAGAUUAGGAAGAACACCAGUGGCGAAGGCGACUCUCUGGACUGUAACUGACGCUGAGGCUCGAAAGCGUGGGGAGCAAACAGGAUUAGAUACCCUGGUAGUCCACGCCGUAAACGAUGAGUACUAGGUGUGGGGGUUUCAACACCUCCGUGCCGCCGCUAACGCAUUAAGUAUUCCGCCUGGGGAGUACGGUCGCAAGAUUAAAACUCAAAGGAAUUGACGGGGACCCGCACAAGUAGCGGAGCAUGUGGUUUAAUUCGAAGCAACGCGAAGAACCUUACCUACACUUGACAUCCCUUGCAUUACUCUUAAUCGAGGAAAUCCCUUCGGGGACAAGGUGACAGGUGGUGCAUGGUUGUCGUCAGCUCGUGUCGUGAGAUGUUGGGUUAAGUCCCGCAACGAGCGCAACCCUUGUCGUUAGUUACUACCAUUAAGUUGAGGACUCUAGCGAGACUGCCUGGGUUAACCAGGAGGAAGGUGGGGAUGACGUCAAAUCAUCAUGCCCCUUAUGUGUAGGGCUACACACGUGCUACAAUGGCUGGUACAGAGAGAUGCAAUACCGCGAGGUGGAGCCAAACUUAAAAACCAGUCUCAGUUCGGAUUGUAGGCUGAAACUCGCCUACAUGAAGCUGGAGUUACUAGUAAUCGCGAAUCAGAAUGUCGCGGUGAAUACGUUCCCGGGUCUUGUACACACCGCCCGUCACACCAUGAGAGUUGGCAAUACCCGAAGUCCGUGAGCUAACCGCGAGGAGGCAGCGGCCGAAGGUAGGGUCAGCGAUUGGGGUGAA
This 1425-nucleotide ribosomal RNA is filed under the name uncultured organism. RNAcentral's name for it is "SSU rRNA". It matches the Rfam family "Bacterial small subunit ribosomal RNA". The record is from RNAcentral.